Haemorhous mexicanus (house finch) is the source of this 700-nucleotide long non-coding RNA. RefSeq lists it as uncharacterized. The transcript is spliced from 2 exons. Lineage: Eukaryota; Metazoa; Chordata; Aves; Passeriformes; Fringillidae. The record is from RefSeq and is a predicted model, not a curated record.
ACAGUAAUAUCUUUUUUCCAUUGCUGGGAUCUUCAGACCAGGUCAGAACACUGGAAUCAAGGUGGCUGGAACAUGAUUAGAACUCAAGGAUUAGAGAGCUGUGGGGUUUUUUUUUACCCAAAAUGGAAAUGCUGAUAGCUGGAAGAUGUUUAAACUAAAUCAGCAAAUGUGAUGGGAUUCCUGUGGAGCACAGCUGAAAACAGAUCUCUCCUUUAUGCAACAUCAGCUUCAAAAAACUAUGACUGAUCCACUCAUCCAGGUGUCAAGAAGCUAAGUACACAUGCAGUGGCAGGAAAAAAGACAGAACAUCUUGUGGCAGCAUGUACCAGGAGUUUUGGCUGCUGUUCUGCUGAGGUGGGCUGAGUGGACAUUGCAAUGCAGCUGGUCAAAGCACAGUAAAACAUCUGGAAAAGACACUUUUGGAGGGGUGGGGUAAUAUUGCUGGAAGCCCUGAUAUGCCAGAAUUUGCCAGCAAUUUUGUUACAAAUCUUGACCCAGAUCUGUGGGAACCUUGAAAUAAUGGAUGCAAACAUUUGUGGUUUGUGGGCUGGGUUGAGAGAAUUCAAACAACUUAGAGAGUUUGACAUGAAAAGUAACUUCAAUAUUUCUUUAAGAAUGGGUACUUUAUUAUGUAUAAUUUCUUGCCUAAAAAAUGCUAUAUGUUAUAUUCCAGAAUAAAAAAUACCAUUACUUUUUGAAA